RNAcentral lists this microRNA precursor (87 nucleotides) under Sphingopyxis panaciterrulae. RNAcentral's name for it is "microRNA MIR1846". Lineage: Bacteria; Pseudomonadati; Pseudomonadota; Alphaproteobacteria; Sphingomonadales; Sphingopyxidaceae. The record is from RNAcentral.
AACACCCGUCGCCCCCGCGAAGGCGGGGGCCGCUGGCGGCCUUUCCGAACGAUAGCGGCCCCCGCCUUCGCGGGGGCGACGGUGAUC